CCUAAUCGACUCUCUCUCAUCUUGUUCUUCGAUUUCGUCUGGAUUUCUUGAUGUUUUCAUGGUAUCAGAGCCUAGACGAUGAUCCGACUAUACUUUUCUGCAUCUUGUUAUCUUGGUUGAAGUCUCGUUUGAAAUUUUUGGGGGUGUUUCUGACGUAUUUGGUCGAUGACGAUUCCGAUCUAAAGCGGAUGCUUUUCUGAGACUUUCAUCGUGAUAUCUGAGUAUAUCUUCUUCAAUCGAAUGUUUUGGGUGAUUUCUCGGUGAAUUUUGGGUGAUUUCCAGAUGACUCCCCAGCUUCUAGGGUUUUCGGUGGUUGAACCUAGGGUUUACUGCUAUCCGGUGGCUCGAUCCUCACUCAGUGGAUGUUUUGGGUGACUUUCCGACAUCC
Molecule: long non-coding RNA, 388 nt
Filed under: Nicotiana benthamiana
Lineage: Eukaryota; Viridiplantae; Streptophyta; Magnoliopsida; Solanales; Solanaceae
Description: long non-coding RNA (NBEN_LNC021717)
Source: RNAcentral